RNAcentral lists this long non-coding RNA (3070 nucleotides) under Triticum aestivum (bread wheat). RNAcentral describes it as "long non-coding RNA (TAES_LNC013337)". The record is from RNAcentral. Lineage: Eukaryota; Viridiplantae; Streptophyta; Magnoliopsida; Poales; Poaceae.
UAGAUAUACUUUUAUCUAAUUAUAUUGUAUCUGCUUAUCAUGUGUUUCUUUGUUAACAUGAAGGUGCUCAAAUGAUCGGCUCUAGUAAAAAUAAAUGUGUUAGAGGAGCAUUUAGAUAGUACAGUAAACGAAUACAGGUGCAUGCAUAGCGAAGGUACUGUAAGAUGGAAUCUCAGCAGGCAAAAAGAAAGAUGCAAAAUACUUUGUUCUUGUUUGUAAACAUGUCGCUAAAUAGGCGUCUUCUGAAUAUAAGAGACACUUGCAUGAAACAAUAGGGAAUAGACGCAAGUCGCAUAGAUAAGUUACAUUUGUUUAACAUAGCAAAAUGUAUUCCAUAUUUAUACACGAGCAGGGGGAAGUUUGUAAAGGAAACAAGUUCCUAAGGUGAAGCUAUAAACACAGGGCUUCACAUCUUAUUUAACUGAUUCAGUAGACUAAACAUAAUAACCAGAUUGGCUACUACCAGAGCCAGAAAGAAGCAAGCUCUCAUGGUGAAGCUAUACUAUAUAGAGCUUCACAUGCCGAUCAGAUAGCUCAGUAUGCUCACAGAGAUCGCACAUAGUGAGCGUAGUCGUCGUCCAUGUCUUGAUGAUAAUCUUCAUUAGAACCUCCACCAGAAAGUCCACCAUAUCCUGAAUCAGACAUGUCAUCAUAUAGGUAGAUGCCUUUCUUUUGCACUGAGAGACACACCAUGGCACUAACAUUCUGAAAUGCAGCUAUAGUGUCAUGAAUCUUUAGGAGAUUUUCUAGUUAAGAUGUCCAUAUUCAGCCUAAGGAAACUAUUUGUAGUAACAAAGAUGAGUCUCGUAGCUACAUAUUGAUUUUUAACAGUUUUUUUGUAUCAAGAAAAUAACGAAGUUGAUGUUUAGGUUUGUUAUUUAAUUUUUUUAAAUGAUGCUAUGUUUCUGUCAACAUCGGAUAUAUAACGAGCUGAAUUGUUACCUUUUGAAGAUGUGAAUCAGAUAUUGUAUUUUUUUCUUUUGAAUUGAAUAGUGUUUGGACGCACAAACAUCUAAAUAGGAAAUUGAAUCACAACUAAAAUAUAAAUAAGUAGACAGAGUAAUAUAUUUUAUUUCCUCUGUAGCUAGCACCUGAAUAAUAUCUCAAGUUUCAACCUCAUCACAUGGAACCUAACCAAGUUCAGGAAAGUAACAAUGAAUACAUAAUUCACUAUCUGUCUUCUUUUCAAUAAGAAAUUGGCCGAAGCCAUCCAAAUUGCAAACGAACAUUGUGAAGACAACCACAAUCAAAAUAGGUGUUUUGUCAAAUGGAACCACAAUCAAAAAGCAUGAAGCCUAUGAAAGUAGUGGGAAAUGCAGACUAACCACCCUUGUUAUGAGCACAGAGCCUAUUCAACAAGAAGCUACACCUUUUACGGUUUUUGGCAGUUUCAGCAGAACUAAGCAAUGGAAAGAACCUAUCUCCUGUUGGACACGGAAAACAAAACACACGCUAAGGGAACAAGGCCUGUCUAGCAAGGCAUGUGGAAAGAAAUGAACAGCAUCAACAGAGUUAAGGAACAUACGCUUCCUCUUUCGAACAACGGGAGCAAGAGGCCUCAGAUGUAUAAAAGGUUAUAAUGAAGGUUAAGAAAGAAUAGGUAAAGCGUCAUAGAAAGAAACAUCAUACAGAACACCUAAGAUAGACAAUCUUUGGUAAAUCCACAACACCUACGAUCGUCAUAGGUAAGCGAGAACUAAAAAACAUAAAACCAAAUAGGCUAAAGACACAGAGAUUAUUCGAACUACCAUCAUGAAGCAAGUAAAUAAACGUGGGCAGUACGUGACCACUAAACAUGGAUAAGGCAAUAAGAGCACCUCUCACAACUAAACAGAAGACACUGACGCUAAAAGGCUCGGGUACAACAGUGCUAGGUCACGAGGCGGGUGUGGCUCGUAGAGGCCCAAUUUUUUUUAUCUGCGGCAUUGGCAAGACAUCGCUCCCAGGAACUUCAAUUUCUACCCCAGCAAGGACAUGCCCAUCUCCAUCUACCUUACAGUAGCUAGGAGGAGGCAAAUCACGGUGCGCCGCCAUUGUUUUUAGAAUCGUUCUCACGAAGGUCUGGGCAGAUUCAAACUGAAAUCAAAAGUCAAUUUUAGGACAAAGUUAUAUUGGGGUCAAACAUGUAAAGAAGAGAAUUCUGCUAGGCAAAGUUCACUUGAGUACUUUUUGAAUUUCCCUCCUCUCCUACAAUGUGAAUUCCCCUCCUCUGCUACCCCAGUUCAAAAUAAUAAGAUAACAUGCAUACAUACCUAGUUCGAUGGGUAAACAUGACUUGUACAUGAAAUAAGUAAUAAGCAUACAUCGCAUAACUUGGUAUAUGAAAAAGAUUUAGAAAAGAGCGUACCAGAGCAGCUCUAGCGAGGGCGUGUCAGUGCUUCCAACUUACUGAAUUUGGAGUGGGUGGCUCCAUAUUGCAAGGACGAACCUGGGGCAAACCAAAGCAACAAAAAAGGUUUAUACUAUGAUACUUAGCAGUGGAUAGCAGGUAAAGUAACAGCAUUAAGCAAUAAAAUUUGUUUAUACAACAAUAAUUAGCAUUGUAUAGCAGGUAAAGUAGCAGCAUUUAAAAAAAAUAACAGUAUGUGAAGAGCAUGCUAAGAAGUAAAAGUUCUUUUACCAUCAUAUUGUAUUUGGGUGUUUCGAGUGAUCAAAGCCAUGUAGUGCUUCGUCAACCGAGGCUAUGCUGCAACCACAAAACAAAAUUUGCUCCGUCGUAUCUACAUCUGAGAUCCUCCUCUUUAGAUGGUGCAAGCCUGCAGCUGUCUAGCAAACCUGGAGGUGGUCCAUUACAUGUCCCAUGGUGUGAUAAGUAGGACUCACAUAAUUAUAUAGGAGCAAUGCUAGAACGACGGACAGAUUUUACUUACUUUACGGAAUGGUGCUAGCUCGCAGUGUUUGAUUGGAGAUUAGAGAGGGCGACGGGCCACACCCCCUGAAAAUCAGGGGGCAGAGAUAAUUAGUGUAGAUAGGCCCGUGAACCCUCUGUAAUCAUCCGCGCAUUUAGAAUUAUCCAUUAUGGGAACCAAAUCAAAGCCCAGGAGGGAAGAUAUCAACAAAGAAACAGCCC